AUUGAACGCUGGCGGCAUGCUUUACACAUGCAAGUCGAACGGCAGCACGGACUUCGGUCUGGUGGCGAGUGGCGAACGGGUGAGUAAUACAUCGGAACGUACCCAGUAAUGGGGGAUAACUAUCCGAAAGGAUAGCUAAUACCGCAUACGCCCUACGGGGGAAAGAGGGGGAUCGCAAGACCUCUUGUUAUUGGAGCGGCCGAUGGCUGAUUAGCUAGUUGGUAGGGUAAAGGCCUACCAAGGCAACGAUCAGUAGCGGGUCUUAGAGGACGAUCCGCCACACUGGAACUGAGACACGGUCCAGACUCCUACGGGAGGCAGCAGUGGGGAAUCUUGGACAAUGGGCGCAAGCCUGAUCCAGCAAUGCCGCGUGCGUGAAGAAGGCCUUCGGGUUGUAAAGCGCUUUUGUCAGGGAGCAAAUCCUUGUGGCUAAUACCCACCGGGGAUGAGAGUACCUGAAGAAUAAGGACCGGCUAACUACGUGCCAGCCGCCGCCGUAA
This 500-nucleotide ribosomal RNA is filed under the name uncultured bacterium. RNAcentral describes it as "partial 16S ribosomal RNA". It matches the Rfam family "Bacterial small subunit ribosomal RNA", at positions 30 to 523 of the family's 1533-position model. The record is from RNAcentral.